Molecule: long non-coding RNA, 906 nt
Filed under: Helianthus annuus (common sunflower)
Lineage: Eukaryota; Viridiplantae; Streptophyta; Magnoliopsida; Asterales; Asteraceae
Source: RNAcentral
AGGUUUUGAAUUUCAAAUCUCCACUCUCUCCCUCAAUUCAUUACUCCUUCAUCUUUCACGCCUCUCUCAUCUCUCUUCUUUUCUUUCUAUUGUAUUGAACACCAAUUUAAAGAAAUCUACAGACAUUCCAUUUCAAAAUUAGGAGAAAUUUUUAAGCAUAGUGUACCCUAAUUUCAUUGCAAAGUGAAAAUAGAGAGAGAAUGAAACAUCAUCUUACCACCCUAUGUUGAGGAAUUAAGAAACAGACAAUGUGGCUUCCGAAGAGCAAAGGUGGUGUCCAAGACAGAGACCCGUUGCCGCGGAAGGGAGCCUCUUUGGUCGGGGUGGCGAUAGACAAAGACAAAUACAGCCCGCACGCUCUCAAAUGGUCCAUUGAACAUCUUCUUAUCUGUGGCCAAACCGUUGUCCUCAUUCAUUUCAUUCGAAAAAACCUCUUCUGCAGGCAAUCCAUAGGGUGGUAAGAUGAUGUUUCAUACACUUAAAUUCUUCGACAGACGUUCCCUCUCUCACUCUCAAUUUCGAUUUCAAAUUUCAAAGUUCUUUAUGUUCUCUCUCAAAUUCCGGCAGCGGCUGUAAUGGUGUUUUGGGCGGUAUUCUGGUGGUUGAAGAAAUCAGGCUUUUUUAAGGUGUUAUGAAGCUUGAAGCUACAAUGUUAAAGACUGCCAGAAGUGAUCAUGCAUGUACUCCCAAACAAUUGCACAUCAAUGAAAAAGUUGCUAAUCUUGAAAAGACACAUGGUGGAUGAUGUCCCCAUUGAGGUUAUUGGUGAUGUUCUUAGAGUUUGACAAAUCCUCACCAACUACCACUUGAAAAGGACCAAUAGAAAGAUCCAAAUCAUUUCUCUUGAAGAAGUGGGUCAAACCCACAACGUUCUUUUUAUAUUUACUUUGUGUUUAAUUAAUUGGC